Molecule: ribosomal RNA, 253 nt
Filed under: uncultured bacterium
Lineage: Bacteria
Description: partial 16S ribosomal RNA
Rfam family: Bacterial small subunit ribosomal RNA
Source: RNAcentral
UACGUAGGGUGCAAGCGUUGUCCGGAAUUAUUGGGCGUAAAGAGCUCGUAGGCGGUUUGUUGCGUCGGCUGUGAAAUCCCGAGGCUCAACCUCGGGUCUGCAGUCGAUACGAGCAAACUAGAGUGUUGCAGGGGAGACUGGAAUUCCUGGUGUAGCGGUGAAAUGCGUAGAGAUCGGGAGGAACAUCAGUGGCGAAGGCGGCCAUCUGGGACAACACUGACGCUGAGGCACGAAAGCGUGGGGAGCAAACAGG